AGUGAACGCUGGCGGUAGGCCUAACACAUGCAAGUCGAACGGCAGCACAGUAAGAGCUUGCUCUUACGGGUGGCGAGUGGCGGACGGGUGAGGAAUACAUCGGAAUCUACUUUUUCGUGGGGGAUAACGUAGGGAAACUUACGCUAAUACCUCAUACGACCUACGGGUGAAAGCAGGAGAUCUUCGGACCUUUCGCGAUUGAAUGAGACGAAGUCGGAUUAGCUAGUUGGCGGGGUAAAGGCCCACCAAGGCGACGAUCCGUAGCUGGUCUGAGAGGAUGAUCAGCCACACUGGAACUGAGACACGGUCCAGACUCCUACGGGAGGCAGCAGUGGGGAAUAUUGGACAAUGGGCGAAAGCCUGACGCAGCCAUACCGCGUGGGUGAAGAAGGUCUUCGGGUUGUAAAGCUCUUUUGUUGGGAAAGAGAAGCAGCAGGUUAAUACCUCGCUGUUCUGACGGUACCUAAAGAAUAAGCACCGGCUAACUUCGUG
Molecule: ribosomal RNA, 492 nt
Filed under: uncultured bacterium
Lineage: Bacteria
Description: partial 16S ribosomal RNA
Rfam family: Bacterial small subunit ribosomal RNA
Source: RNAcentral